RNAcentral lists this long non-coding RNA (1195 nucleotides) under Setaria viridis. Its description in RNAcentral is "long non-coding RNA (SVIR_LNC006711)". Lineage: Eukaryota; Viridiplantae; Streptophyta; Magnoliopsida; Poales; Poaceae. The record is from RNAcentral.
UUGAUUGAAACCGUAGAUGCAUACACUUAGUACCUUGAUUUGAAUACUAGUGCUACGGUCAAGUAGAUGCAAUGCUUAAUAGGUCCCGGUAAAAGUCGAGUGAUUUCCUGUCACUCGCGAGUUGUAAGAGUUGAAUGUUUUAUUUAUGCUGCAACUAUAAGGACGACGGACGGGGUCGAGCUUAUGUUCGAUACUUGGUGGAUUGCCCCGUCUGUCUAAAUGAAAUUGAUCUAAGGUCGAAAUGUGUCGGUGUUCGUGAUCAAGACUUUGAAAGUACUAAUCUCAUACCUAGUAUGGGAUGAGGAAGCCUAGUACCUGAUUGAACUAGGGCAUGGCAUACUCCCCCGGCUGUCCUUGGAACGUCGUUCCCAUGGUGCAUCAUGUGGGUGCAAGUGCAAUCAUAGUACGGCAGAGGCCGGGAUUAUGGAGCAUUGCAUGCCAAAGGCAGUUGGCCCUAACACGUGUGUUGGGGGGACAUAUUAACGAUCUCCUAAAUACCGCUUAAAGGAACAAACAUGAAGGCCCAGGCCCAUCCGGGAUAACAAAAUCACCGUCAAGCCCAACAUGAGCAAAACUCCGCCUCGCUCGACCACGGUCUAAGGGUCGGGAACGUCCGACCUCCCGCCAUGAGGCUCCGCCUCAUCCGACCGCAACCCCCGGGUCGGGGGCGCCCGACCCCUCGCCACAAGGUUCCGCCUCAUCCAACCCCGAGCAUAGGGGUCGGACUCACUAGGGCCCCCAGGAUGGAUAUCCCCCUCGGGUGCGGGCCGGACGGUCAAGGUAACGAUCCCGUGGGACCCCCUUGUUGACCUUGUCAUAAAUGCGCCGCAGGCCUGGCAGGGAGAAGGAUGACCGCGCUCCUCACGCAACCCGCUGCAAGUACCCAUGCACGACCACACUGUACAAGCUACAGUGCUGGUGGCUUCCUUCCAUUUGCCGCAGGGUAGUCAUGGCCUGCGCCGACCGGAGCAAAGGGAAGACUCGCCCAUCCUCGGGCCCCGCGCGCCCUCGGGUUCCGCGCGCCCGGCAGCGGGGAUGUGACGCCCUCUCUCCACGAGCCAUCAUCAGGACGGAGGCAUCCGCCGUCCCUCCCAAUGGACACCGGAGUGACGACGAAACGCCUUCAUCAUAACCCGACGCCUACGGAUACCGAAGAGGCUAUCUAUAGGGCGCGAUGACAGUUGGCACAUGGCCG